AAGCUAUAUGUGAAAUGCACUAGGUCCCAAAUAUUUAAAGCUAGGGAUGUUGCUGGGUUUCUACACAGAGACGGUUUUGAAUAAAAAAACCAAAAUCAACUCAACAGUAGUUCAGUAGAUACUGCUUGUUAUCUAUGGACAUUCUAUAUUUUGUUUUUCUUUUAAACACCUCAUCCAAGAUAGCUAUAUAAUAGCCUUAUGAAUGCUGUUUCUCUGAUCAGAAGAUGGAGUAGACCCUAAAACAAGACAGGUUUUUAGUGAUCUACUCCUUCUCUCCAUCAAAGCCAUGUUAGCAAACAACUUCAAACACAAAUGAGGAACAUUUAUUUCCCUAUAGUGAAUUGAAGAAAUACAAUAAAAAUAAAUCAAAAGUCAGAAGUUUAAGAGAACAUCACUGCUAAAGAUUAUUCUCAAAUUUUUGAAUGGAAUCCUGAUACGAUUGUCCCAAAAAAUCCUUCUUCACACAACUAUAGGACUUCCUAAUAUAGGAAAAUAUUGCCAGCCAGAACUGAAAAUGGAAAUGCCAAAAUACUGUUUUUGAACUACAGCUGUCCUGAAUGAAACAAGGAAGCACUACAAAGUCACAGGACAGACUGUUUUUAGGAAAUUGCCAUCUCAUUUCCCAGCUGGAGAAGUUUGGAUGAGAUCAGGUAAACUGUGGAAACUGCUAAACUUCUGGAUGUAUAGCUGAACUGAACCACCAAUCUUUUGUGACUUAUCCAUUACUGAAGUACACAUAUUCUGGAGAUGUCUAUAAAUAAUAUAGUUUUACUUUGAGAAAGAAGGAAGGAAACACAACACACUACACAAAUCAGAGGUUUGCCUGCAUUAUCCCUCAAAUUAGAACUGUACUGUGCAUUCAAUUGGACUGAUCACAGUGAUUUAAAUAAGGGGUACAUCUCUGAAGUCACUGGAGAUAAACUGAUUUAUCUGAGAGAAGAUUUCUGCCAUAUCCGUUCAUGACAUGUAAAAGGAAACUGCAGACAUACACGGCCUUAUUCAUCCAGGAUAUUAACAUCCAUUGCUUCAAUGAUAUUUCAUUAGGAAUAAAGUUGAUCAACUAA
Molecule: long non-coding RNA, 1064 nt
Organism: Haemorhous mexicanus (house finch)
Lineage: Eukaryota; Metazoa; Chordata; Aves; Passeriformes; Fringillidae
Exons: 3
Source: RefSeq, a predicted model, not a curated record